Molecule: long non-coding RNA, 2381 nt
Organism: Monodelphis domestica (gray short-tailed opossum)
Lineage: Eukaryota; Metazoa; Chordata; Mammalia; Didelphimorphia; Didelphidae
Source: RefSeq, a predicted model, not a curated record
GCACCAGCCAGCCCUUCCAGGGCACUACUGCCCCGGCUCCUCCUCCCGAAGGCGGCUUGCCUUCUCUGCCUUAUCCGAGGAUCUAGCUGCUAAACCAGCUGACUUGCUGAUCACGUGAGUGCGGACUUCUGCACGGAGCACGCUGGGACUUGUAGUCCAUCCCCUUUUCUGCAGUGCGAAGCAAAACCUGUCAGCCUUUGGCACCUGCGAAGAAGUUGUAAACACGACAUUUAAAGACUGGAGGCAGGAAGCCUCCCUGUGCCAAGGACCCUAACGUGGGAAGCAAGAGGGGUUCUGCUAAUUGACCCUGGCACACGAUCUCAGCCGGUAUUUAUUAAGCGUGAUCCAAACCAAUUCCAUAGAUUUAAGGCUGGAAGGGACCUUGGAGCUCGUGGUAUCCAACUCGCUCUCUUUUUUGAUGGGGGAAGAGACACAAAGAGACACGAGGAUAGUAUUUAGGGCUGGAGGGGACCUCGGAGGCUAACCCCUUCACUUUACAAAUGAGGAAACUGAGGCACGCCUCAGAGGUGAGAUUUGGAUUUGGGCUCAGAAGGUAGCCCUUUGGUGUGGGGAAUAAAGGCUGGACUCAGAGUCAAGAAGAGGAGUUCCUAUUUUGGCCUCAGGCACUUUCUGGCUGUGUGAUCUUGGCCAAGUCACCUAAUCUCUCACUGUUUCCUUUUGAGAUAGAGAUAAUUGCAGCAUAGGGUUGUAGUAAAGAUAAACUGAGAUAACAUAAGGAGAAGGCUUUGUAAACCAUAAGGAUCAGAGCUUUGUUGCAGGAAGGGAUCUGAGGGGUCCUCUACUCCAAAAUCUCUCAUUUGGUAGAAAAGGAAAUUAAGGACCAAUGUCACAUAGGUAAUAAGAGACAUGGCUGGGGUUUGAAUCCAAAUCCUCUGAUUCCAAAUCCAGUGUCUUUGGAUGAACACCCAGUGGAAUAUUUUAAUUUAUAAGAAUUCAGUGAAAUGAGCCUCUCCUCCUCUCUCUCUCUCUUUUUUUUUUUAAACCCUUACCUUCUGUCUUGGAGUCAAUACUGUGUUACAAUGUUAUUGAAUAAAGUGUUCUCCUGGUUCUGCUCCUUACUUCUACAUAGGUUCAACUAAUUCUUCCUAAGAUUUCUCUGAAAAUUUUUUUGGUAAUUUCUUAUGGAGCAAAUAUAUGUAUAUAUUAAAAACCCUUUCCUUCUGUCUUAGAAUCAAUACUAUGUAUUGGUUCCAAGACAGAAGGGCUGUAAGGGCUAGGCAAUGGGGGUCAAGUGACUUGCCCAGGGUCACACAGCUGGGAAGUGUCUGAGGCCAGAUUUGAACCUAGGACCUCCCAUCUCCUAGCCUGGCUCUCAAUCCACUGAGCUACCCAGCUGCCCCCUCUUUUUUUUUUUUUUUUAAACCUUACCUCCCAUCUUAGAAUCAAUACUGCAUGUUGGUUCCAAGGCAGAAGAGUGGUAAGGGCAAAGGUAGGCAUUAGGGGUUAAAUAACUUGCCCAAGGUCACACAGCUAGAAUUGAGGUUCUUUUGAAAGUUCUGUCAUAAUAUGUCAGAAUCUACUGAGAAUUGCAAAGUUCCCUGGUUCUUCCUUACCCCAGGGUUGGCCCCCUUUGCUUGAAUCUUGUAACUUGCUCAUGAACACUUACUAAUUCGUGUGAAUGAAUUUCUGGGAUCUUUAUGUACGUGCACAUACGUAUAUAUUAGAGUUAAUAAAACUUCUUAAUUAAUGGGUUCUUAUGAGCCAAUCUAGCUUUUAAAACUAGAAUUCAAUUCCUGUUGCUUCACCUAAAAGCUCACCCCACUGGUAGCUUGUAUUUGGCAUCAAUGACAUCAUUUAGGGUGUUGUUGAUUUGACAUCAGCUCUCCACUUAUUUCUAUCAUAAAGUCAAAGAUGUGUGACUUUGGGUGAAAAAGCUGGCCCUGUGGUCAGCUUUUUUCCUAUAGGGGAUUAGUGGGAGCAUAGAUAGGGGCACCUGCUUAUUCCAGCAGUCUGCAGGCUACUUGACCCUGGGCUGAAAGAACUUUGUAUUGGCUAGGGUAGUUUCCAUUUGUUUCUGUUCCCACUUUAUCUCACCCCUUUUAGGGCUCUUUCUUGUCAAGCCCCCUACAAUGGGCUCCUGCUUUUCCCUGGAUGGGGCUUUGUGGCAUAAUUUUGGACCUAGUAAGACUCCUUGACUUGAUGGGAAGAGCCAAUAAAAGCCAAGAAGAUUAAUUAAGUGACCAGAUAUUACAAUGGAAUAACAUUACAGGCAUCCCUUCCACAUCUUGGGGGCUAGUGGAAAAUCUGAGUAAAAUGUUUUGGCCCUCCCUUUGUUACCAGAGAAGAUCUGAUUUUUUUCUUUUUCUCUAAUGAGGUGUUUACUGAGUAUAUUUAUAGUAUUAAAAGCUAAAAUAUAUUGA